AGCGAACGCUGGCGGCAGGCUUAACACAUGCAAGUCGAGCGGGCGUAGCAAUACGUCAGCGGCAGACGGGUGAGUAACGCGUGGGAACGUACCUUUUGGUUCGGAACAACACAGGGAAACUUGUGCUAAUACCGGAUAAGCCCUUACGGGGAAAGAUUUAUCGCCGAAAGAUCGGCCCGCGUCUGAUUAGCUAGUUGGUGAGGUAACGGCUCACCAAGGCGACGAUCAGUAGCUGGUCUGAGAGGAUGAUCAGCCACAUUGGGACUGAGAUACGGCCCAAACUCCUACGGGAGGCAGCAGUGGGGAAUAUUGGACAAUGGGGGCAACCCUGAUCCAGCCAUGCCGCGUGAGUGAUGAAGGCCCUAGGGUUGUAAAGCUCUUUUGUGCGGGAAGAUAAUGACGGUACCGCAAGAAUAAGCCCCGGCUAACUUCGUG
Molecule: ribosomal RNA, 435 nt
Filed under: uncultured bacterium
Lineage: Bacteria
Description: bacterial SSU rRNA
Rfam family: Bacterial small subunit ribosomal RNA
Source: RNAcentral